UUACGGCCACAUCGCGUUGAAACACCGGUUCUCGUACGAUCACUGAAGUUAAGCAACGGUCAGCCUGCUCACUACCAAGAUGGGUGAACGCUUGGGAAUAUCAGGCGC
Non-coding RNA from Acanthosepion pharaonis, 108 nucleotides. Lineage: Eukaryota; Metazoa; Mollusca; Cephalopoda; Sepiida; Sepiidae. The record is from the annotation of a GenBank genome assembly.